This 470-nucleotide ribosomal RNA is filed under the name uncultured beta proteobacterium. RNAcentral describes it as "bacterial SSU rRNA". It matches the Rfam family "Bacterial small subunit ribosomal RNA", at positions 188 to 649 of the family's 1533-position model. The record is from RNAcentral. Lineage: Bacteria; Pseudomonadati; Pseudomonadota; Betaproteobacteria.
GGAGGACCGUAAGGGAUCGCAAGACCUUGCGCUCAUUGAGCGGCCCCCUUCUGAUUAGCUAGUUGGUGAGGUAAAGGCUUACCAAGGCGACGAUCAGUAGCUGGUCUGAGAGGACGACCAGCCACACUGGGACUGAGACACGGCCCAGACUCCUACGGGAGGCAGCAGUGGGGAAUUUUGGACAAUGGGGGAAACCCUGAUCCAGCCAUGCCGCGUGAGUGAAGAAGGCCUUCGGGUUGUAAAGCUCUUUCAGCCGGAACGAAACGGUCACGGCUAAUACCUGUGACUACUGACGGUACCGGAAGAAGAAGCACCGGCUAACUACGUGCCAGCAGCCGCGGUAAUACGUAGGGUGCGAGCGUUAAUCGGAAUUACUGUGCGUAAAGCGUGCGCAGGCGGUUUUGUAAGUCAGAUGUGAAAUCCCCGGGCUUAACCUGGGAACUGCGUUUGAAACUACAAAGCUAGAAGGG